GACGAACGCUGGCGGCGUGCCUAAUACAUGCAAGUAGAACGCUGAAGGAGGAGCUUGCUCUUCUGGAUGAGUUGCGAACGGGUGAGUAACGCGUAGGUAACCUGCCUGGUAGCGGGGGAUAACUAUUGGAAACGAUAGCUAAUACCGCAUAACAGUAGAUGUUGCAUGACAUUUGCUUAAAAGGUGCAAUUGCACCGCUACCAGAUGGACCUGCGUUGUAUUAGCUAGUUGGUGGGGUAAAGGCUCACCAAGGCGACGAUACAUAGCCGACCGGAGAGGGGGGUCGGCCACACUGGGACCGGGACCCGGCCCAGACUCCUUCGGGAGGCAGCAGUAGGGAAUCUUCGGCAAUGGACGGAAGUCUGACCGAGCAACGCCGCGUGAGUGAAGAAGGUUUUCGGGUCGUAAAGCUCUGUUGUAAGAGAAGAACGAGUGUGAGAGUGGAAAGUUCACACUGUGACGUUACCUUACCAGAAAGGGACGGCUAACUACGUG
RNAcentral lists this ribosomal RNA (495 nucleotides) under uncultured bacterium. Its description in RNAcentral is "partial 16S ribosomal RNA". It matches the Rfam family "Bacterial small subunit ribosomal RNA", at positions 28 to 507 of the family's 1533-position model. The record is from RNAcentral.